GCCUGGGUGGCUCAGUCAGUUGAGCAUCUGACUUCAGCUCAGGUCAUGAUCUCACAAUUUGUGGGUUCGAGCCCCACGUUGGGCU
RNAcentral lists this transfer RNA (85 nucleotides) under Felis catus (domestic cat). It matches the Rfam family "tRNA". Rfam says of the family: Transfer RNA (tRNA) molecules are approximately 80 nucleotides in length. Their secondary structure includes four short double-helical elements and three loops (D, anti-codon, and T loops). Further hydrogen bonds mediate the characteristic L-shaped molecular structure. tRNAs have two regions of fundamental functional importance: the anti-codon, which is responsible for specific mRNA codon recognition, and the 3' end, to which the tRNAs corresponding amino acid is attached (by aminoacyl-tRNA synthetases). tRNAs cope with the degeneracy of the genetic code in two manners: having more than one tRNA (with a specific anti-codon) for a particular amino acid; and 'wobble' base-pairing, i.e. permitting non-standard base-pairing at the 3rd anti-codon position. Lineage: Eukaryota; Metazoa; Chordata; Mammalia; Carnivora; Felidae. The record is from Rfam by way of RNAcentral.